GACGAACGCUGGCGGCGUGCUUAACACAUGCAAGUCGAACGGAAAGGCCCUGCUUUUGUGGUGGCCUCGAGUGGCGAACGGGUGAGUAACACGUGAGUAACCUGCCCUUAACUUUGGGAUAACUGCACUAAACUGGGGUUAAUACCGGGUAGGAGCUCCUGCUGCAUGGUGGGGGUUGGAAAGGUUCGGCGGUUGGUGAUGGACUCGCCGCUUUUCAGCUUGUUGGGGGGGGAGUGGCUUACCAAGGCUUUGACGGGUAGCCGGCCUGAGAGGGUGACCGGCCAAGUCAGGACUGGGAUGAGGCCCAGCCUCCAACGGGACGCAGGAGUGGGGAAUGUUACACAAUGCGAGGAGGGCAGGCGUGGCAGCGCAGCGUGCGGGAUGACGUGCUGGGGGUUGUAAUCUACUUCCGUUUUGGACGAGGCGAGAGUGACGGUACUGGGUAAAGAAGCCCCGGCUAACUACGUG
RNAcentral lists this ribosomal RNA (468 nucleotides) under uncultured bacterium. RNAcentral's name for it is "partial 16S ribosomal RNA". It matches the Rfam family "Bacterial small subunit ribosomal RNA", at positions 28 to 507 of the family's 1533-position model. The record is from RNAcentral.